This 1941-nucleotide ribosomal RNA is filed under the name Triticum aestivum (bread wheat). RNAcentral describes it as "partial small subunit ribosomal RNA". The record is from RNAcentral. Lineage: Eukaryota; Viridiplantae; Streptophyta; Magnoliopsida; Poales; Poaceae.
AGAGGACUUGCGGUACGGUCGCCCCCGCUCCCCUGGUCGCUCCCGCGGGCGGCCCGGGAGCGAACCCUAGGCGCCGCCAGCGAGCUCCCUCCGUCCCCUCCUCCCCUUGCCGCCGCCGGGCGAACCCCGCGCGCCUCGGCGGCGGCGGGGUCCUUCCCUCCUCCAGCUCGGGCAGGGGCGGUGCGGGCCGUCUGCUCCGGCAGGAGCUCGGCUUGGCGCCCGCGCUGGCAUGGGCGGCCGCAUUCGGGAAGGCGCGAGUGGGCGGGCGGGGUGGCCCGUCUGGGCGUGCGGGGCGCGGCUCGGGCGCGCGAGGCCUCCGGCGGCGUGGAUGUGGUGCCUUGCGGGGGCUCAUGGUCAGGGGUGACGGCAGGGGGUCGGAUCUGGGUCCCUCGCUGCGUGCGUCCUGCCCGUGUCCGAGCUGGUGGAGCUUGAGGUGCAUCGGUGGUGCUUCGCUGGCCUGGCUGGAUCCGGGCGGAUCUGGCCCAUGGUGGUUCGGCUUGGGGAGGUGGUGUUGGUGGCUGGUGGAGGCGGGAGUGGUGGAGGCUGGUGGCGGUGAGUGUUGCUGGUGGUGCGAGGUGGGAAUACUGCGGCCGGUUUUCGAUCUCCCCCACCUUUGGUUAGUGCUGUGGCACUUUGGAUCUGGUCUCCGGCAGGUGCACGGUGGCGCGCGUGGGGCGUGUUGGUGCUCCUGAUGUUUGGCUGCAGCCUGGAACCAUGGUGGUUCCUGGCCUCGGGCAGUGCUCCUCUGCUCCUCGCCGGCAUGGUGCUCGGUUAGGUUCGGCGGCUCGCGCUGCGUCCGGUGGCCCUGCGUUCGGACGGCCAUUGGUGGAUCCAGUGCCUAGUGCUGAUGUUUGGCCGUCGGCGGUCUCCGCGGGGUGUGGUUGGCUGCGACGGUUCGUCGUGCUUCUUCGUCUCGGAGGGGCCCGAUGGUGGUGGUGCUCAGCUGCCGUCUUGCUGUAGGGAUGUGCUCAAACUCCGGGUGAGAACCUUGCAUUGACUAUGUCGAUGUCAGCGGCAAUGGUGUCUGUGGACAUCGUUUUCCUCGUUGGAGGUGUCGUUGUGGAGCUCCAGCACCUCCAGUACCUUGUUUUGUGGUAUCCGGGUGAAAACCUAAGAUCCGGCUUGUCGGAUGGGAUGACGAUCUUGUGUCCUUGUCGGCACUACCUCCUUGGAGGCGUCAUCUUGGAGACCCAAACGACGGCUUCUGUGCCUGCGUGUGGUUGAGUUUGCAGCGUCUGGUGGUGGUGGUGUGGCCAACUUGGGAUUAGUCGGAGGGUCCAAUGGUGCUGGUGGUGGUGCGACUGGCUUGGAGUCGACGGUGGUUGUCUGGUGGUGUUCUUUGGGGUUUGGUGGCAGUGCCUUGGGCGCCGCAGGGCGGCCAUCUGUUUCCCCCUCGUGAAGGUGUCUCGCUAUGCAUGCUCAAGACUCUCCCUUGGCGGUCGAUGUGUUGCGGCAAGCGUCAUGCUCUUGGUGAUGUCUUGGUUCAUCUUUGCUAUUUGAUGACGCCAGAUACCUCCCCAAAUUGUUAAUCGUUCCAAUCUUCCAUCACGGGGCAUCCAGUCAAGGUUCGUGUUUUUUGCACUCGUUGGUUGUGGAUGCUCCUGAGUUGUGCCGUGGGGCUCGGUAUGCACGGAAUGCGGUGCGUUAGGUUCCUCGCAAAGUCUAAGUAUUGGGAUCCCUCGACGACACCCCACAACUACUUGUGUCUUUCAUAGUGAUGGUCCUUUUAGUCUGCUAGCUAGGUCCUGCCCUUGUUGAGUGUCUUGUUCUUCUCUUCUCCUUGUAACCUUGUUGUACGGUUUUCGGCCCGGUUUCCCUUAUAAACGGGUCAACUUGUUUAGGUUUUCGAUCCGGUUUCCCUUAUAAACUGGAUCACUCUUCUGGCAUAAUGGCCAUUUUGAAUAAUAUAUUCAGGUGGAAGGACUCCUUCCCCGAUGAUUC